GAUGAACGCUAGCGGCAGGCUUAACACAUGCAAGUCGAGGGGUAACAGGAGAAAGCUUGCUUUCUUGCUGACGACCGGCGAACGGGUGCGGAACACGUAUGCAACCUACCUCUAUCAGGGGGAUAGCCCAGAGAAAUCUGGAUUAAUACCCCAUAAUAUUUUCUCAACACAUGUUGAGGAUCUUAAAGCUUCGGCGGAUAGAGAUGGGCAUGCGGCCCAUUAGUUAGUUGGUGAGGUAACGGCUCACCAAGACCACGAUGGGUAGGGGUUCUGAGAGGAUGAUCCCCCACACUGGUACUGAGACACGGACCAGACUCCUACGGGAGGCAGCAGUGAGGAAUAUUGCGCAAUGGACGAAAGUCUGACGCAGCCAUGCCGCGUGCAGGAUGACUGCCCUAUGGGUUGUAAACUGCUUUUAUAUACCAAGAAACCCCUGGACGUGUCCGGGGCUGAC
Molecule: ribosomal RNA, 454 nt
Filed under: uncultured bacterium
Lineage: Bacteria
Description: bacterial SSU rRNA
Rfam family: Bacterial small subunit ribosomal RNA
Source: RNAcentral